UACGUAGGGACCAAGCGUUGUUCGGAUUCAUUGGGCGUAAAGCGCACGUAGGCGGCCCAGCCAGUCGGGUGUGAAAGCCCUCGGCUUAACUGUGAAACUGCCUUUGAUACUGCUUUUCUUGAGUUCGGGAGAGGUUGAUGGAAUUCCAGGUGUAGCGGUGAAAUGCGUAGAUAUCUGGAAGAACACCAGUGGCGAAGGCGGUCAACUGGCCCGUAACUGACGCUCAGGCACGAAAGCGUGGGUAGCGAACAGG
This 253-nucleotide ribosomal RNA is filed under the name uncultured bacterium. Its description in RNAcentral is "partial 16S ribosomal RNA". It matches the Rfam family "Bacterial small subunit ribosomal RNA", at positions 524 to 776 of the family's 1533-position model. The record is from RNAcentral.